CUCUGUGACUGGCUUGCUUGAUGGUUAGGGUCUGAUCGCUGCCUGAGACACCAUAUCGGUACUCCUCAGAGUUGAUGCAGAGUGUUCAUAUGAGGAGAGACUUUCCCUUGUCUCCGUCAUCUGUGAUUUCACUUCCCUGACAGAAGACGAAGCUUCCAUCUCAGAUGUUUUCUUAAAUGAUGAAACAGCAUACGCCUCUGUUCUUGUCAGCUCAGGGAAAACAGAUCUGGGGACCUCUUCAUCUCUGCGUUGGGAAGCAUAGGUGGUAUAAUCCCCUCCUGUCACGUCCAACGUUGCAUAGUCAGAAGCUUCGCCCUUGUAGUUGGUGCACACAGCACGGUGAUCACAGGAUCUGGUUUGCCACUGAAAGGAAUCUUGAUGCUGACCACUUCACCUCGGAGAGCAUGAACUGCUCCCAUGCCUUCAAGAGUUUUAGGAUGGCAUCAACUGUUCCAAAAACAUUGCUGAGCUGGACUUUGUAUUUCCCAGCAUGAGUCUUACGUUGGACAUUCUUCAUGACAAGAUGAGUAUAGUGCUCAGUGUUUUCAAUAGUAAUGUUUUCUGAGUUUUGCAAAAGUUUCUGACCAUGGAACCAAGUCAUGGCAGGUACUGGACGACCAAUGUACAUAACAUGAAGCCGAAGUGUGGAACCCACAGCUCCAUAAUAUUUCUCUUUCAGUGGGUAACCAGGAUGGAACUGCGGUGUUGCUUGCAGGAGAAGCUUACUACUGGUUUCUACUUCUCCAACCUCAUUGGUGGCUAUGCAGGCACUGUCUCCAGACUGUCUAUAUUCAACC
This 797-nucleotide long non-coding RNA is filed under the name Homo sapiens (human). RNAcentral describes it as "TTN antisense RNA 1". The record is from RNAcentral. Lineage: Eukaryota; Metazoa; Chordata; Mammalia; Primates; Hominidae.